AAAUAACGACGUAGCAUCGCGUCUCCUCAAACCGAAGCUCACAGUGGCGGUAAGAAGUACAGCUGCUCGGGUGUGCUGUGCCAGUGAUAGAUUUUCUUUCCGUUCUCAAAAGCUGGAUGGAGGCACAGCCGCAGUACUUACGCGCAAGCGACUAUGAGAGUUUUGCAGCUGGCGCAGAUGCUCGUUGGACGCACAUCCAGUCGUUUCGUCUCGCAGGCUGCACUCGUCGGAAACGUCGAGGUGUCACGAGGAAGCCACGGAAUGAGACUCUCAUAUUGAAGAGAACUGCUGAAUGGUACAAAUAGACAAGUGACAGUCUACUCCAAGUGGAUGCUUAUGAGGUCACUGAACAUUCACUUUUUCGUAGCCCUUCAAACUGCUAAAGGUGCGCAAAAGAAUUCUGUGUACUGACGGGAGGUCCUCUUAACCAAGGCAUAUGGCUGAAAGGUGUACGCACCUUGCAAAUGGCUCGCGCAAUGUCUGGACUGCCCAUCACGUUUCGUUGACCAUGUGGAUUUACUGCGAUUAUCGCGUGCAGAAACGGGAUUAUUUGCUUGAGAGCCUGCGGGGGAACGGGAGAGUAGUCCUCUGUCGCGAUUCUCGUUUCUCGGGGCAGAGCGACCAUCAGCAGUAUUCGCUGGACAAAAGCGAUACUCCGGGUAGUUUGAGCAGAAAUCCGUUGUUCCCUUUUCAUACCGUCAAAAGCUGUACAGAACUUGGUACAAAGAAGUACCAGCGAAUGCGGUAUUUCUGAACCAACCCGGACGCAAAACAAGUUGUCACACCACAACUGUUGUUUAGCAUCAGAUUCGAACUGUACAUUGACCGUUCAACACAGGCCUCGCUUCCCCGCCACGCCAUGGCAUCUGUGCCUCAGUUUGUCCGAUACAUUUUGUUCAUAUUGCGACUUCGCGUAAUUAAAGAGCUUCUGGAUGGAAGAUACUGUCAACGCGUUAACUGUGGCCCAGCGUUCGAAAUUUUGCAAGGAAAUGCCCAUCGUGGGGAUGCUUCCGACGUUCAACCCUUCCUCGAACGCUGCUUAUGUUGUUCCGCUAAAGACUAUUGAUAUGACGUAUGUGAUAUUGAGGUGAUCGGGUAGGCUCCC
This 1105-nucleotide long non-coding RNA is filed under the name Toxoplasma gondii VEG. Lineage: Eukaryota; Apicomplexa; Conoidasida; Eucoccidiorida; Sarcocystidae. The record is from RNAcentral.